This 27-nucleotide small RNA is filed under the name Bombyx mori (domestic silkworm). RNAcentral's name for it is "ovarian small RNA-29391". The record is from RNAcentral. Lineage: Eukaryota; Metazoa; Arthropoda; Insecta; Lepidoptera; Bombycidae.
UCUAAACACAAUUCAAGAGGUCGAUGG